UACAGAGGCCCCGAGCGUUGUUCGGAUUCAUUGGGCGUAAAGGGUGCGUAGGUGGCGCCGUAAGUGGGGUGUGAAAUCCCGGGGCUUAACCCCGGGACUGCAUUCCAUACUGCGGUGCUUGAGGACUGGAGAGGAGACUGGAAUUUACGGUGUAGCAGUGAAAUGCGUAGAGAUCGUAAGGAAGACCAGUGGCGAAGGCGGGUCUCUGGACAGUUCCUGACACUGAGGCACGAAGGCCAGGGGAGCAAACGGG
This 253-nucleotide ribosomal RNA is filed under the name uncultured bacterium. Its description in RNAcentral is "partial 16S ribosomal RNA". It matches the Rfam family "Bacterial small subunit ribosomal RNA", at positions 524 to 776 of the family's 1533-position model. The record is from RNAcentral.